UUGCUAUGAUCAUUUGGGGUCCUUUCCACCAGCUCUCAGCCUGCACCAGGUUCAGUCCCCUUGUUCAUACCUGCAUGCUUUGAAAUACUGCCAUCUGCAUCUUGAUCUUCCUGAAAACCAACACCAACAGGAACCCUCUGCCAGUCAAGGUGUCACCUCUGUAUGCAGCCACGGCCUCAUGAGGGGGUGUCUCUCCAUCCUGUCAGUGUUACCCUGAGGUCAAUGUGAACAUGCCCAUGGGAGCCCUGGCAAGCCACACACACACAGACCAUCCUCCUGCCAGCUCCUGCUCCCAGCUGCGCUCUGGCAGGGUCCCCACAGCCAAACCCUGCUGCACCUCAGCCUGGUUCCAACACCAGCACAAAUCCCAGGAAUGCCUCCUUCCCCUGCAGCUGUGUGCUCUUGGAACUGCUGCUCCAGCCUUUUGUCUCCAGGUUUGGAUUUAUGGUGCUGCUUAGGUAACCGAGGGAAACAGGCUGGAGUUCACAGAGCAUAUUUACUGAUGCUAUCGCUGUGGCUUUGCCAUGACUCAAAAUUUGCUCAAGACAGGAAACUCAAGGAAGCUGCCACAAGAAGCUGCAGUGAGCAGUGGGACUGUGAAUGUCACUAAUGAAAUGGCAAUUACAAAGGGAGGGAGAAACUAAAAGGCUUCUCCUCUACUUAUAACGUUGCUUUGGGUAUUCUUCUUAUUAUUUUACACAACAAUCCAAGUCUUUUAUUGAAAUAAACUCUGCUUUGGGUCAUGCAGCCAAUUCUCCAAGGGGCAAGAUGGCUUUCCCCUAUUGAGCACAGUAGGCUCAAUAUGAUUGUACUGCAUUUGCUGUGUGUCUGGUUUGUGGGCUGAAUGUUUGCUCUCCUGGGAUUGCCAAGACUCAGGAUUGAUUUUUCCAGUGCUCUCAAAUCCUAGAGGGCACCACAGAACAGUUCUGCAAACCAGGCUUGCUCUACAACACAGAUUUUACAGGUGUUGCUCUUCUUGUCUCCUUUUUAGCUUUCCUUUCUCUUCAUAUUUGAUUUGUAUUAAAAUUAAAAAGGAUCUUAAAGUAGUGAACAAGCAGUUAGUGGAUGAGUAUGAAAGGGGAAAACCCCCUAACAUCAAGAAGAAAAGGCACUAUAUUUGCAGAAUUGAAGCUGUUGCUUCGAAGCUUCAGCCUGUGUAAGCUGCCCCAAAAGCAAAGCCAGGCCGGCGACUCCAUCUGCAGCCACUUGCAUAUUCCCACAGGGGUACAAUAUGCAGCUGAUUUCCCAAUUAAGCUUUCCCAGCAAAGAAGUUUUAUAAUUUAAACAGACUCAAAAGUUUGAGAAAUGAAUACAUAUUCAUGAAGGACUAAUAACGCUCUGUCUAGAACACAGCUUUGAGCUGAGAGCAGCUCUGACUGGCUCAUGUCUCACCCACCACACUUAGCGAAAAUGGGAACGAGGAAGAAAUGGCUGAAACCAGCAGAUUGUGUUUUGCUAAGACAAUAAAUAAUAACCGUAUUCUGA
Molecule: long non-coding RNA, 1485 nt
Organism: Chiroxiphia lanceolata (lance-tailed manakin)
Lineage: Eukaryota; Metazoa; Chordata; Aves; Passeriformes; Pipridae
Exons: 2
Source: RefSeq, a predicted model, not a curated record